AGGAGCGACCAUAUCAGCACUAAUGCACGGGAUUCCAUCAGAACUUCAAAGUUAAGCGUGCUUGGGCGAGAAUAGUUCUAAGAUGCGUUUGUUUUAUGACUUUCAUAGAUAAUGGCUAGUGGCAUGACUU
Molecule: non-coding RNA, 130 nt
Organism: Cephalotus follicularis
Lineage: Eukaryota; Viridiplantae; Streptophyta; Magnoliopsida; Oxalidales; Cephalotaceae
Source: Rfam